RNAcentral lists this ribosomal RNA (717 nucleotides) under Euphorinae gen. sp. 1 BJS-2011. RNAcentral's name for it is "SSU rRNA". It matches the Rfam family "Eukaryotic small subunit ribosomal RNA", at positions 482 to 1153 of the family's 1831-position model. The record is from RNAcentral. Lineage: Eukaryota; Metazoa; Arthropoda; Insecta; Hymenoptera; Braconidae.
GAUACGGGACUCAUCCGAGGCCCCGUAAUCGGAAUGAGUACACUUUAAAUCCUUUAACCAGGAUCCAUUGGAGGGCAAGUCUGGUGCCAGCAGCCGCGGUAAUUCCAGCUCCAAUAGCGUAUAUUAAAGUUGUUGCGGUUAAAAAGCUCGUAGUUGAAUCUGUGUGCCACGCUGUCGGUUCACCGCUCGCGGUGUUUAACUGGCAUGAUUGUGGGACGUCCUACCGGUGGAUUUAGCUGUAUGAAAGUAUGGCGGUCCAACUAAUAUCCCAUCGCGGUGCUCUUCACCGAGUGUCGAGGUGGGCCGGUACGUUUACUUUGAACAAAUUAGAGUGCUUAAAGCAGGCUUAUUUCGCCUGAAUAUUGUGUGCAUGGAAUAAUGGAAUAGGACCUCGGUUCUAUUUUGUUGGUUUUUGGAACCCCGAGGUAAUGAUUAAUAGGGACAGAUGGGGGCAUUCGUAUUGCGACGUUAGAGGUGAAAUUCUUGGAUCGUCGCAAGACGAACAGAAGCGAAAGCAUUUGCCAAAAAUGUUUUCAUUAAUCAAGAACGAAAGUUAGAGGUUCGAAGGCGAUCAGAUACCGCCCUAGUUCUAACCAUAAACGAUGCCAGCUAGCGAUCCGCCGAAGUUCCUCCGAUGACUCGGCGGGCAGCUUCCGGGAAACCAAAGCUUUUGGGUUCCGGGGGAAGUAUGGUUGCAAAGCUGAAACUUAAAGGAAU